AUGUUGGGUUAAGUCCCGCAACGAGCGCAACCCUUGUUCCUAGUUGCCAGCAUUGAGUUGGGCACUCUAGGGAGACUGCCGGUGACAAACCGGAGGAAGGUGAGGAUGACGUCAAGUCAGCAUGCCCCUUACGCUCUGGGCUACACACGUGCUACAAUGGCGCGGACAAAGGGUUGCGAGCGCGCGAGCGUGAGCCAAUCCCAAAAACCGCGUCUCAGUUCAGAUCGCAGGCUGCAACUCGCCUGCGUGAAGGCGGAAUCGCUAGUAAUCGCAGAUCAGCAUGCUGCGGUGAAUACGUUCCCGGGCCUUGUACACACCGCCCGUCACACCAUGGGAGCUGGCCAUGCCCGAAGUCGGAGCACCCGCCGAAGGCAGGGCUGGUGACUGGGGUGAAGUCGUAACAAGGUAGCCGUACCGGAAGGUGCGGCUGGAUCACCUCCUUU
RNAcentral lists this ribosomal RNA (443 nucleotides) under uncultured cyanobacterium. RNAcentral describes it as "bacterial SSU rRNA". It matches the Rfam family "Bacterial small subunit ribosomal RNA", at positions 1072 to 1533 of the family's 1533-position model. Lineage: Bacteria; Bacillati; Cyanobacteriota. The record is from RNAcentral.